UCAAGUAGCUUUUCAGAUCCUACGCAGAGGUGAACAGAUGGCUCUUCUGUGUGCCUGCGUAAGAAAAUCCCUUUCUGCAAAUGGGAUGUCAGGCAGGAAAUUUCAGUAAGAGGCAUAAACCACAACUGUUUUCCAUUUGACUCAAGAUAGCCAUGUAUCAUCAGUGUUCCCAAAUCAGCUUAUUCAUCUUCAGUGUUCUAAGAUUUUUUAAAACAGAAGUUAAAAUAACAACAGCAACAGAACAGACAAAACAAGCAAACAGAAACCAGAAAAAUGAAUGGUUGGUGCUGAAAUGCAACAUUUGCAAGAUGCUGCCCAGCAAAUCUUCCAAGCAGAAGGAAUGGAACAGGAGGCAGCAAAGCAGCCACACAGUGCAGGAUGCUCUUCUUGGCAAUUUCCAAGAGUAAAUAUCUUAUCAUAAUAAAAGUGAAGAAAGAUGUAGUCUCCACAGAGCAAAGAGUCUGCUGAAGAGCUUUCAUGGACAAAAGCCGAUGGGGUCUGGUGGUACAUGCUGGCUCCUGAAGGUCAGAGCAGGCAAGCUGAAGAGCUGAGACUGAUGAUGGGGAAAGCCCAGCCUUCUGUGCUUUAUGAGAGGCUGCAGUGAAAGGUUGGGUGGGCAGAGCUCCCUCCUCUCUUAGACCAUCACUUCCCAGGAGCAGGUAGCACAUAACCUGUCUCUUAUUUCAUGGUGGAGGAAUAUUUCAGAAUGAGGAGGGUGGUGCUGACUUGCCUGACUUAUGCUGGUUUUCUCAGCACUCCUGCAAUGCUUAGGGAAGGGCUUCCUUGCUCCUGACCAUGUCAUUUCAGACAGUGUUUCAGAACUUUGCUGACAGUCUGGGCAAAGCUGGGGGAAGGUGGUGAUGGGGUCAAUGUGGGAGAGGCUGCUUUGGGCGGCAGCCUGUUGUAAUAUCCCUGCAGGAUGGGGUGAGCUGAUUCCCUGUCUGUACUAAAAGAUUGCCACAGUUUUCCGUGAGGAAGGAGAAGGAUGUCUCUCACCAGAAAUCUUUUCGAGCUGUGUGAGACAGAAGCAGCUGUGUGGGGGAAGGCAUCAGACUUGAGGAAGUCCUCACGUUGUUUCUGUCUUCUGAACAUCUUGGUUCUUAUGACCACGCAAGCUGCUGAAAUGAGUUCCCUUCUGAGACUGAAUUUGGAGAGAAUUGACCAGAUGACAGGGUGAUAGGCUAAAAAAUGGUGGUGGGAAAGGACCUCCAGAGGUCAGUGGUUGUCCCUGUCAUGCCCCUCACAUUUCCAUGGACACGCUGAACUGAUAGGUUGUAGAGCAGUAUCUACAGUUGCAAAUGAAGCCUAAUAAUGGCCCCAAAUUAUUUUGAUGUUUCUCUAUCAUCUAUAUAAACACAGUUAUGGUACCUAGACAUCUUUCAAAGCGGUUUAUCAAGGAUCAGGUGAGAAGUCUGUGGAAAAGCAGGGAUUUGAACAAAGUAUCCCAAGCUUCAGCCUGUGUGCAACCAAAGAGCCCUGCAAUGUAGGAACAUUACCAGUACCAGAGCAUGGAAGAGCACGGAACGAGGGCUUUCUUUUUCUCCAGGGAGCUACAUGCCUGGCUUCACUGCCUUCCUGGUUUGCCUGAGUGAGAUCACCCCACAAGGAAGGCAGUGGGAUCUGCCACAGUUGGGCAUUAAUUAGUUUGGCUUAAAGACCUGAGGCACGCAGCCUGGCUGCAGAGGAAAUAAGCUCCCGGAGUGAAGUCAGGGUGGCUUUCCAAGGACAGGGCUGGUCAUCUGGUCUGUCGAUACGGGACCUGCUUCACACUUGUCUUGGCUGCACAAACUGCUUUGCAGCCCAGAAAGCGAUGUCCUGAUGUGGAAAGGUUGUCUGUAUUCCUGUGGUUGUUGUGGUUGCGUUCCUUGAGUUGUCCCCGUGCAUCAAAUUACAUGGAAGGUGUCAGUCUGGGCUAACAUCAGAAAUUAGUUGGACCACGUGAAGUCUGAGACACUGAGCAAAAGGGUGAAUAUAUACUUCCUGUGUCAUACACAAGCCUUUACGGCAAAAAAAAA
Molecule: long non-coding RNA, 2015 nt
Organism: Anas platyrhynchos (mallard)
Lineage: Eukaryota; Metazoa; Chordata; Aves; Anseriformes; Anatidae
Source: RefSeq, a predicted model, not a curated record